CAGCAGCCGCGGUAAUACGUAGGGUGCAAGCGUUAUCCGGAAUUAUUGGGCGUAAAGAGCUCGUAGGCGGUUUGUCGCGUCUGCUGUGAAAUCUGGGGGCUCAACCCCCAGCCUGCAGUGGGUACGGGCAGACUAGAGUGCGGUAGGGGAGAUUGGAAUUCCUGGUGUAGCGGUGGAAUGCGCAGAUAUCAGGAGGAACACCGAUGGCGAAGGCAGAUCUCUGGGCCGUAACUGACGCUGAGGAGCGAAAGCAUGGGGAGCGAACAGGAUUAGAUACCCGUGUAGUCCAUGUCUCUUAUAC
This 301-nucleotide ribosomal RNA is filed under the name uncultured bacterium. Its description in RNAcentral is "partial 16S ribosomal RNA". It matches the Rfam family "Bacterial small subunit ribosomal RNA", at positions 509 to 807 of the family's 1533-position model. The record is from RNAcentral.